Molecule: small RNA, 1452 nt
Filed under: Rattus norvegicus (Norway rat)
Lineage: Eukaryota; Metazoa; Chordata; Mammalia; Rodentia; Muridae
Description: uncharacterized LOC100911827
Source: RNAcentral
AAUCACUCAGCUGACGGGCAGGCUCCUUAUCGUGGACGCAGGAGAGGGACCACCAGAAAGGCCCCACCAAAAAGCACAUCUAGGCUGAGAACGUCCGAACAGAAGAGCUACGUUGUCCAUUGCACCUCCAAGUGAUGGGCAUUUGCAGACCUCAGCCUGGGGCCGCUGAGGGCUCGGGUCCACGUCAGAAAGAGAGCAACAUGCAUGCAGUGAACCUCAAAAGAGAAAAAUCUCUGUGAGCCUGAGGUUUUCCUCUGCUACUCCUCAGCCUCUCGUGCUUUCUGUUCGUUCAUCUCUCUCCUCUCUUGUAGCUGAGACAGGCUGUCUAGACAUUGCAGAUGUGGACAGAUGUUGGGUCUGUAAUUUAUAACAACGGCCUCCAGAAGGCAAUUCCAAUUUGUUUCGGUCGUAACUCUCAGCAUUGGGCUCCUGAACUGUGCCUGCUGCUUGCUGCCCAGCCUGCCAUCAUGGUGGACUCUUAAUCCUCUGGAACUACAGACUCAAUGAAACUCUUUUUUUCUCUAAGUUGCCUUGGUCAUGGUGUUUUAUCACAGCAACAGAAAAGUAACUAAGACAGAUAGGGAGCUGGCCAAGUGUGAGUAAUCACAAGGUUUUCCUAAGGUGUCUGCAGACGGCUGCAGUAGGAGGCAGAGUGAAGACCAGGCUGGUACUGUUGCCAUUGCUAGGGGAAGUCUUUCCUAGUGGCUGCUUCCAGCUCGGCACAUUUAGACCUCAAGGAAAGAGGGACAUGACUGGAAGAUACUUUGUAACCACGAGCAUCCAGGGAAAAAAGCUGCAGAGGGCUGGGGUUAAAGGUGUGCUCCACAACUGCGGGGCUGACUCCUGGAUUUGUAAAACUUGCUCUGAGAAUCUACCUGUUCAAGGUCUUCCUUCUCCGUGCCUGGUGCAUUCAGCCUUCAGACAUGAGUGGAUUUCCAUUUCCAGAGGAUGAAAAAAAAAAUGAACAGAAGCCCUGCUGAACCUGGGGGGCUGAGCAGAUGCCUCAGAGCCCCGGGCCGCAGUUAAGGUGACGAGAUGCAGCAAUUCUUUAUGAACAUUUCAUUCCUGCUCGCUACACGACGUAAAUUAGAUGGUGUGUUACAUUCGGGCAAUAAGAGAGAUAUGUCACCACGACGCUGGCCCAUUGGAUGGAGAGGGGGUUUGGCGAAGAGCUGAAAGGAUUUCACCCUGAUGUGCACACUACUGAGUGACCCUGCUCACCAGCGGCUCCGCUGAUUGCUUUGCACCUUGCAGACUCCGCGACUGGCUCGGCCUCUUGCAGGCCUCGCUCCCUCCGGGCCUCCAGCCCACCCCGCCCCUGCCUGGCUUUCUCUGGAAGCCAAAGCCGAGAGACCUAACAGAGAUGUCACAAAGGUCAUGAAGGGAUGUGUCUGUGGGGAGAAGCAGGACGGCAGAGCUAAAACCAAAAUAAAGCAAAAAAAAAAAAAAAAA